CCUACGGGGGGCAGCAGUGGGGAAUAUUGGGCAAUGGGCGCAAGCCUGACCCAGCAACGCCGCGUGAAGGAAGAAGGCUCUCGGGUUGUAAACUUCUUUUCUCAGGGACGAAGAAUGUGACGGUACCUGAGGACUAAGCCACGGCUAACUACGUGCCAGCAGCCGCAGCAAUACGUAGGUGGCAAGCGUUAUCCGGAUUCAUUGGGUGUAAAGGGCGUGUAGGCGGGAGCGCAAGUCAGAUGUGAAAACUCAGGGCUCAACCCUGAGCCUGCAUUUGAAACUGUGUUUCUUGAGUGCUGGAGAGGCAAUCGGAAUUCCGUGUGUAGCGAUGAAAUGCGUAGAUAUACGGAGGAACACCAGUGGCGAAGGCGGAUUGCUGGACAGUAACUGACGCUGAGGCGCGAAAGCGUGGGGAGCAAACAGGAUUAGAUACCCGAGUAGUC
This 443-nucleotide ribosomal RNA is filed under the name uncultured bacterium. Its description in RNAcentral is "partial 16S ribosomal RNA". It matches the Rfam family "Bacterial small subunit ribosomal RNA", at positions 338 to 795 of the family's 1533-position model. The record is from RNAcentral.